GAUGAAGAACGUAGCGAAAUGCGAUAAGUAAUGUGAAUUGCAGAAUCCAGUGAAUCAUCGAAUCUUUGAACGCACAUUGCGCCCGCCAGCAUUCUGGCGGGCAUGCCUGUUCGAGCGUCAUUUCAACCCUCGUCCUCCCUUUGGGGAAGUCGGCGUUGGGGACCGGCAGCACACCGCCGGCCCUGAAAUGGAGUGGCGGCCCGUCCGCGGCGACCUCUGCGUAGUAAUCCAACUCGCACCGGAACCCCGACGCGGCCACGCCGUAAAACACCCAACUUCUGAACGUUGACCUCGAAUCAGGUAGGACUACCCGCUGAACUUAAGCAUAUCAAUAAGCGGAGGA
This 343-nucleotide unclassified non-coding RNA is filed under the name soil metagenome. Its description in RNAcentral is "partial contains 5.8S ribosomal RNA, internal transcribed spacer 2, and large subunit ribosomal RNA". The stretch from base 1 to 120 matches the Rfam family "5.8S ribosomal RNA", at positions 35 to 154 of the family's 154-position model. The record is from RNAcentral.